Molecule: long non-coding RNA, 4684 nt
Filed under: Sus scrofa (pig)
Lineage: Eukaryota; Metazoa; Chordata; Mammalia; Artiodactyla; Suidae
Description: lncRNA (ENSSSCG00050026535.1)
Source: RNAcentral
UUAUCAUGCUAUUGGAGUCCCUUAUAGUCACUGACCUGUUCUGACACUAACUCGCCUGCUCACUCUGCUCUGCCCUACCUGAUCCCCACACCCACCUGGUUACCUUUUCAACAUUUUGAGAGGAUAGGCCCAAGUCCAACAGUGAGAAUCAGAAAGGCAGUUGGAUGCCCUCGUGGUCGCAGUUGGAGGCCCUCAUGGUCACUGACCUGCUCUGAUGCUCACUUGCCUGCCUGCCCUUCUCUGACCCGCCUGAUCCCCACACCCACCUGGUUACCUUGUUACCAUCUUGAGAGGAGAGGCCUACAUCCAACAGCGAGUGUCAGAAAGGCAGUUGCCGGCCCUGUGGUCUCUUACCUGCUCUGACACUUGCCCAUUUCUCCACCUGUCCUGCCCCAUCCCUGGGUGCAUUUCCACCAAAGAGGCACAGCUCCAGCAGCAAGAGACCACAAAGCAUCAGACAAGGUGAAGCUGGGGACUCUGUUGACCCUGGAAUGAGCAGAAAUAGUGGCCAAGUAUGAGCAGGGGCAGCAGUCAGGGUCUCCAGUGGACCCAUAGGAUGAUGCUGACCUCUGGUGCUACAAGGUCACCAACAGAUGGGAGCAACCUAGCCUCUGCACCCAGGACCUCAGCAUCCAUGGCCUCAGCACCCACAAGGUGAGGAUGUGCCAGCAGGUAUACUGCACAGGUUAAAGGACAGGUGUGGUCUCUCCUGUUGGACCUGGAAAAGGUAAAGUUGGAUAACCAAGGGAAAUACAAGAGAAUGAAGGAGCAGGCCAGGCUCUACUUCUGGGACAUCAAAUUUAUAAACAUGGGUGUGAGCCACAUGUUCCAAAACAAUAUUAUAUCCCAGGAGUGGUAUGGCACCAAGCAGUAAGCCCUCUUCAAUGUGCUUGUAGUUUACUCUGUCUACAACACAGUGAGCACUCUCCCCUAGCCAGCCAUCCCACAGUGGCCUAGCUUCUUAAGUGGCCUGUUGGCACCAGUCAGCAUGCCAGCUCCCACAGCCACAGAGAUGAUGCGAGGGGAGUUCUGUUCUCAAACUGACAUGGAUGGCUGGUGUGCAGGCCCCAAUUUUAGGACAGAAAUGGCACAUUAUGCCUGGGCUGUGCCAGCCCGUGAUCUUGGAAAUGUUUUAUAGCAGGUUCACAUAGGCCUAAAAAGCAUUGUUCUGGUGGUGACACUUAAGUUUGAAUCCUGAAGAUGUCAUUUCAUGAACCAGAAUCUUAGCAGGGAUGAGAGUUCCCAGCAACACAAACUCCUGUGUGGCUCCCUGGAGGUGGCUCUCCACCCCACUUGCUCUUUUCAGAAUAUUCCAUCAAGGAAUACCAGCUGAGAUGACCACACAGGAUGACCACAGUGGGGUCUGGGGCUGCCCAACCACCAUGGCCCUCCAAGCCACAUAUAUGCCUAUCAGCAACCCCCACCUGCCCUUAUGGCAGGACCUCCAUACCUUGCUGGUCUUCAGCACCCAGCAAGCCUCAUCUGGGCAGGGGGCCAUGGGAUGGUGCCCAGGAACAAAUGGGAGCCCAUCCAGUAAGUGCUGGGGAGAGGGUGGUGGAGGUUGCCCAGGGAGUCCCUGCAGCCAUAUCUGACUCUUGCAGGAGGUGGGCUACUGCCAGGGCAAGAUCCAGAUUGUCGAACUCCUGCUCAUGUUUAUUAAUGAGGAGGAGGCUUUCUGGGCACUAGCCCAACUGAUGGACAACAAAAGACAUGCCAUGCAUGGUAGGUGACUUCCCUGGAGGGCUGGAUGUGACUCAGCAACAGGUAUCUCCCUGCAGAGUUCUCCCAGAUAACUGGGACUGGCUUGGCUUAUCUCCCCAUCAGCAAAGGGCACCAGCUCCCCCCACAGCCCUCUGUGUCCCACAGCCAUGACCCUUCAUCCCUGUCCUUGUCCAGACCAUGCCAUUCCUGCUGGUCCCUCUUCCUCUCUUCUGCCACACACUGGGCCACCUCCAACCCUACCCCAAGCCCCUAAUCAGAGGAGGCCCAGGUGGCAGCAUCUCCCUGCUGUGUCCCUGCCUGACUCCCAAGCCCAGGAGAUGCUUGUGCACACCCUAUCCCCCAUCCUGUGGGCCAUACACACUGCUCCUCAGUACUGGGACCCUCAUCUCCUGCAGCCACAUGGGGGAGGGGCCAGGCCAGAAACAGAUGCCUGCCUGAUGCUCAGUACUGGGCACCUGCGAAGCUGGGCCUCUGUGAGCAGGUUCUCAUCCCUGGGCCACUCUAGUCUUCAAACACAGUCAGUCAUGUCUGGGAAAAGCCAUGCAGCCAGGUUGGGGUGGGCCUUGAACAGUGGAGUCACUACCUGGGGAGGAGGCCUUGGGUUCCCAGGACACACAAGCCCUUGCUGGGCUCACCUCUGACUUCCAGUGUGGGUGGGUUCUUGGGUUUUCUCAGGCUUCUUCAUUCCACAGUUCCUGAAACUUCAGAGAUUUUAGGUCCAUCAUGAUAAGAUCCAAGACAAGACUCUCCCCAAGCUGAAGAGGCACCUGGGACAAGGAAUACAUGUACACAGAAAUUUAUACUAAGUUGAGGUUCCAACGUUGCUUUAUCAACCAGAUACCUUUCUCACUCCCACUAAGACUAUGGGAUGUAUACAUCCUGGAGGGGGUGUGAAUACUCACAGCCAUGGCCUAUACAGUCAUAAAGCUGCACAAAAAACACCUCCUGAAGCUUCCCCUGCAAGGCAUGUAUGAGUUUCUCCAGGACAAGGUCUCUGGCCCUAGAGGAUGAUGCAGUGAUCAAAAGGCUACAGGCCUCAAUGGCUGAGCUGCACAGGAAGAAUUUGGACCUACCUCUCCCAGCAAAACCUAAGAAGUUCCCCAUGAGGACCCUAGGUCUGGAGCAAUCAUACCUGGAACCCAAGGCUUACCAAACAAUUACAAGCAUCAAGGAACUAUCUGAAGAGGAUGGGCCUGACCUCCCUGGCCCAGCUGCCGAGCACCAGCAGCACAGACCCUUACCCAGCCAGGCCUGCCUAAAGGCUGAGGAACACCAGCAAGAGGGGGCCAUGGCAUCACAACUCCAUUGGAGGGCCUGAGAGUCACCAUAUCUGGCCUACCAGUUCCCACCCCUGGGCAUACCUCAGGACCAGAUGUGGCUGUGGAGAUGAACUUCUUUUCCCAACAUCCCGAGGAACUAUGGGUGUCCAAUCAAGUGGCCAAUUGAUAUAGGAUUUGAGCCCGAGUUUUGGGACCUUUGCCCCUCAUCAAGGGCCAAGGUCACCCUCAGGGCCACACUGCAAGCCUAGCCCUGCAGUCCCACAAAGGCCCCAGCCACAGGUCCUGCCCAGGCCCACUGAACAUGCAGCCACAGGGCCCAGGACACCCCUCCUUCCCCAUAGCAAGUUCAGCUAAUGCCCCUCCCAGGGCAGUGAUCAGCACAGCCAAGAUAGGAUAUGAGAUUUCAAUUUCAUUAUGAUUUGUAAUGCUACUCCAUCAUUUUGCAAAUGACCCUCUGACAUAAUCUAUGACAUAAAGGGCAUUUCUGAUGAAGUUUAUGAAAAAAAUCCAGUAAAAUUUCUAGGAUUCAAAUGACAUGCAUCUAGCCACUUGUAGCAUGAAAUUAUUGAAUCCCAAAUCCCAGUGUCCACCACAGGGUGGCAGAAUUGAUCUUCUUCCUCAGUCAUCAGGCUGCAAGUAUUCAUAGAGAAGACACUUCCAAAAAUGUCUAAGCAUUCGUAUUAAGGAGCUCUAAUGGAACUGCACCAAUAAUUUCCCACUAUAAAUCUAUUAAAGCUAGUUUCAUUUCUUUCUUGUUACUAUGGUGAAAAAAAUGGUAGUGGUGAAUUUGGUAGGGUUUGUAGCAUGUCUCUAAUGACCUUAGACCAUGUUAUUCCCAGAAACUUGCCUAAUUACUUCAAGGCCUUUAGUUUGGUUAAAGAAGAGUUCUACAUGGCUAAUUCUAUUUACCAUAGUUUGCCUAGUCUCUCAAGCUUCUCCCUUUGAGACAGAAACUAUUGUUAAGUUGUCGAUAUAAUAAUGUAUUUUAGAUAUGGUAAUACAUAAAUCUCUUUUUUUAAAAGUAUGACAGUAUGUUAAAGCUAUAUCAUUCGGGGGGAAAUAAUAAACCUAUUCUGUAUUCUUUUGCAUAUAAAAGUAAACUAUGCCUGACAGUUCUUUGAUUCUAAAAGUUAAUCUGGAAGCAUAAAUGUAUGCAAAUUGCAAUUAAUUUUUAAAAGAGUAAUGAGUAAUUCUAGAAGACAAAACAAAUUAUAAUGUUAGAACUAGAAUCACAUACUGGCACAUAAAUAUAUAUGGAAUGCAAAUGAUUAACAAAACAUGAAUUAGCCCAAUUUCACAAAUAUGUAUUUAAAAUAAGGAUAUUUCAAUAUAAAAGAUGGAAUCCCUGCUGUGGCACAAUAGGACUGGCAGCACAAAGGACACAGGUUUGAUCCCUGGCCUGGCACAGUAGUUUAAAUAAAAGAUCCUGUGUUGCCACAGCUAUGAAGUAGGUUGCAACUGAAUCUCAAAUAUGACCCCAGGCCUGGACAUUCCAUAUGCCACAAAAAUAUGUUUCAAUUAGGAUUAUUUUAGUUGUAAAUGAAAGGAAGAUCAAAUGAAAUUAUUUUUAAAUAUAAGAUUUGUUGAUUGGCUUAUGUAAAUACGAACUCCAAAACCUUGAAAGCCUCAGAAUGAGUUGAUAAAAAUGAUCAAUUAUACUAUAAUAAAAUCCCUUACUUUCU